Molecule: ribosomal RNA, 504 nt
Filed under: uncultured bacterium
Lineage: Bacteria
Description: partial 16S ribosomal RNA
Rfam family: Bacterial small subunit ribosomal RNA
Source: RNAcentral
GAUGAACGCUAGCGACAGGCCUAACACAUGCAAGUCGAGGGGCAGCACAUGAGUAGCAAUACGAUGGUGGCGACCGGCGCACGGGUGAGUAACACGUAUGCAACCUGCCUUCUACUAUGGGAUAACCCGUUGAAAGACGGACUAAUACCGUAUAAUACAGGGGCUCCGCAUGGAGAUAUUUGUUAAAAAUUUAUUGGUAGAAGAUGGGCAUGCGUAUGAUUAGAUAGUUGGUGAGGUAACGGCUCACCAAGUCAACGAUCAUUAGGGGUUCUGAGAGGAAGGUCCCCCACACUGGUACUGAGACACGGACCAGACUCCUACGGGAGGCAGCAGUGAGGAAUAUUGGUCAAUGGACGAGAGUCUGAACCAGCCAAGUCGCGUGAAGGAAGACGGUUCUAUGAAUUGUAAACUUCUUUUGUGCAGGAAUAAAGUGGGUUACGUGUAACCUUUUGUAUGUACUGUACGAAUAAGGAUCGGCUAACUCCGUGCCAGCCGCCGCGGUAA